AACGAACGCUGGCGGCAGGCUUAACACAUGCAAGUCGAGCGCCCCGCAAGGGGAGCGGCAGACGGGUGAGUAACGCGUGGGAACGUACCUUUUGGUUCGGAACAACUCCGGGACACUGGAGCUAAUACCGGAUAAGCCCUAACGGGGAAGAUUUAUCGCCGAAAGAUCGGCCCGCGUCUGAUUAGCUAGUUGGUGAGGUAACGGCUCACCAAGGCGACGAUCGGUAGCUGGUCUGAGAGGAUGAUCAGCCACACUGGGACUGAGACACGGCCCAGACUCCUACGGGAGGCAGCAGUGGGGAAUAUUGGACAAUGGGCGCAAGCCUGAUCCAGCCAUGCCGCGUGAGUGAUGAAGGCCUUAGGGUUGUAAAGCUCUUUUGUCCGGGAAGAUAAUGACUGUACCGGAAGAAUAAGCCCCGGCUAACUUCGUG
RNAcentral lists this ribosomal RNA (430 nucleotides) under uncultured bacterium. RNAcentral's name for it is "partial 16S ribosomal RNA". It matches the Rfam family "Bacterial small subunit ribosomal RNA", at positions 29 to 507 of the family's 1533-position model. The record is from RNAcentral.